RNAcentral lists this ribosomal RNA (649 nucleotides) under uncultured bacterium. Its description in RNAcentral is "bacterial SSU rRNA". It matches the Rfam family "Bacterial small subunit ribosomal RNA", at positions 138 to 807 of the family's 1533-position model. The record is from RNAcentral.
CACGGAUAACAUACCGAAAGGUAUGCUAAUACGAGAUAAAAUACUUUUAUCGCAUGGUAGAAGUAUCAAAGCUUUGCGGUACAGGAUGGACCCGCGUCUGAUUAGCUAGUUGGUAAGGUAACGGCUUACCAAGGCGACGAUCAGUAGCCGACCUGAGAGGGUGAUCGGCCACAUUGGAACUGAGACACGGUCCAAACUCCUACGGGAGGCAGCAGUGGGGAAUAUUGCACAAUGGGCGAAAGCCUGAUGCAGCAACGCCGCGUGAGCGAUGAAGGCCUUCGGGUCGUAAAGCUCUGUCCUCAAGGAAGAUAAUGACGGUACUUGAGGAGGAAGCCCCGGCUAACUACGUGCCAGCAGCCGCGGUAAUACGUAGGGGGCUAGCGUUAUCCGGAAUUACUGGGCGUAAAGGGUGCGUAGGUGGUUUCUUAAGUCAGAGGUGAAAGGCUACGGCUCAACCGUAGUAAGCCUUUGAAACUGGGGAACUUGAGUGCAGGAGAGGAGAGUGGAAUUCCUAGUGUAGCGGUGAAAUGCGUAGAUAUUAGGAGGAACACCAGUUGCGAAGGCGGCUCUCUGGACUGUAACUGACACUGAGGCACGAAAGCGUGGGGAGCAAACAGGAUUAGAUACCCUGGUAGUCCACGCCGUAAAC